This 405-nucleotide ribosomal RNA is filed under the name Ruminococcus sp. Its description in RNAcentral is "bacterial SSU rRNA". It matches the Rfam family "Bacterial small subunit ribosomal RNA", at positions 355 to 776 of the family's 1533-position model. The record is from RNAcentral. Lineage: Bacteria; Bacillati; Bacillota; Clostridia; Eubacteriales; Oscillospiraceae. RNAcentral also lists the same sequence under 3 other names.
UGGGGGAUAUUGCGCAAUGGGGGCAACCCUGACGCAGCAACGCCGCGUGAAGGAUGAAGGUUUUCGGAUUGUAAACUUCUUUUAUUAAGGACGAAACUUGACGGUACUUAAUGAAUAAGCUCCGGCUAACUACGUGCCAGCAGCCGCGGUAAUACGUAGGGAGCAAGCGUUGUCCGGAUUUACUGGGUGUAAAGGGUGCGUAGGCGGCUUUGCAAGUCAGAUGUGAAAUCUAUGGGCUCAACCCAUAAACUGCAUUUGAAACUGUAGAGCUUGAGUGAAGUAGAGGCAGGCGGAAUUCCCCGUGUAGCGGUGAAAUGCGUAGAGAUGGGGAGGAACACCAGUGGCGAAGGCGGCCUGCUGGGCUUUAACUGACGCUGAGGCACGAAAGCGUGGGUAGCAAACAGG